RNAcentral lists this ribosomal RNA (194 nucleotides) under Aeribacillus pallidus. RNAcentral describes it as "partial 16S ribosomal RNA". It matches the Rfam family "Bacterial small subunit ribosomal RNA", at positions 1349 to 1533 of the family's 1533-position model. The record is from RNAcentral. Lineage: Bacteria; Bacillati; Bacillota; Bacilli; Caryophanales; Bacillaceae.
UCAGCAUGCCGCGGUGAAUACGUUCCCGGGUCUUGUACACACCGCCCGUCACACCACGAGAGUUUGUAACACCCGAAGUCGGUGGGGUAACCCUUACGGGAGCCAGCCGCCGAAGGUGGGACAAAUGAUUGGGGUGAAGUCGUAACAAGGUAGCCGUAUCGGAAGGUGCGGCUGGAUCACCUCCUUUCUAAGGA